Long non-coding RNA from Poecilia latipinna (sailfin molly), 255 nucleotides. RefSeq lists it as uncharacterized. NCBI's taxonomy places the organism in Eukaryota, Metazoa, Chordata, Actinopteri, Cyprinodontiformes, Poeciliidae. The record is from RefSeq and is a predicted model, not a curated record. The transcript has 3 exons.
UUUAGCCUUUUUCCUGUCUAUUUUCUACUGUUCAACUUUCUCUCAGGUAAUGCUGCUUAGUGUGUUUGAAGUGUCUGAGGUUGUGAUGUGCUGCGGAUGUUUUGGUUAGUUUGAUUAAACUCUGAAACUCUGACGUGGAGCGCUGAUUGUCAUCUGUGUGGCUUUUGUUUUCACGCUCAGCAUCACUGAAUCCGGGAUGACGAGAGAAUAAAACGAGCCAGAAGUUUUAAUAAUUUAUUUUCUAAACAGGGAAUA